GGGGGAUAUUGCGCAAUGGGGGCAACCCUGACGCAGCAACGCCGCGUGAAGGAUGAAGGUUUUCGGAUUGUAAACUUCUUUUAUUAAGGACGAAACUUGACGGUACUUAAUGAAUAAGCUCCGGCUAACUACGUGCCAGCAGCCGCGGUAAUACGUAGGGAGCAAGCGUUGUCCGGAUUUACUGGGUGUAAAGGGUGCGUAGGCGGCUUUGCAAGUCAGAUGUGAAAUCUAUGGGCUCAACCCAUAAACUGCAUUUGAAACUGUAGAGUUUGAGUGAAGUAGAGGCAGGCGGAAUUCCCCGUGUAGCGGUGAAAUGCGUAGAGAUGGGGAGGAACACCAGUGGCGAAGGCGGCCUGCUGGGCUUUAACUGACGCUGAGGCACGAAAGCGUGGGUAGCAAACAGGAUUAGAUACCCUGGUAGUCCACGCUGUAAACGAUGAUUACUAGGUGUGGGGGGUCUGACCCCUUCCGUGCCGGAGUUAACACAAUAAGUAAUCCACCUGGGGAGUACGGCCGCAAGGUUGAAACUCAAAGGAAUUGACGGGGGCCCGCACAAGCAGUGGAGUAUGUGGUUUAAUUCGAAGCAACGCGAAGAACCUUACCAGGUCUUGACAUCCAACUAACGAAGUAGAGAUACAUUAGGUGCCCUUCGGGGAAAGUUGAGACAGGUGGUGCAUGGUUGUCGUCAGCUCGUGUCGUGAGAUGUUGGGUUAAGUCCCGCAACGAGCGCAACCCUUGCUAUUAGUUGCUACGCAAGAGCACUCUAAUAGGACUGCCGUUGACAAAACGGAGGAAGGUGGGGACGACGUCAAAUCAUCAUGCCCCUUAUGACCUGGGCUACACACGUACUACAAUGGAUGUUAACAGAGGGAAGCAAGACAGCGAUGUGGAGCAAACCCCUAAAAACAUUCUCAGUUCAGAUUGCAGGCUGCAACCCGCCUGCAUGAAGAUGGAAUUGCUAGUAAUCGCGGAUCAGCAUGCCGCGGUGAAUACGUUCCCG
This 1000-nucleotide ribosomal RNA is filed under the name uncultured organism. Its description in RNAcentral is "bacterial SSU rRNA". It matches the Rfam family "Bacterial small subunit ribosomal RNA", at positions 356 to 1376 of the family's 1533-position model. The record is from RNAcentral.